UUUCCGUAGGUGAACCUGCGGAAGGAUCAUUAUUGUAUAACCGAGGUGCGAGGGCUGUCGCUGACCCGAAAGGUCGUGCACGCCCGAGUGCCCCUAUACACAUCCAUCUCACCCCUAUGUGCACCACCGCGUGGGUCCCCCUUUGGCUUGUUCGGAGGGGGGCUUACGUUUUCACACAAACUUUGUAUGCAGUGUAGAAUGUAUUUUUUGUUCUUGCGAUCACGCAAUCCAUACAACUUUCAACAACGGAUCUCUUGGCUCUC
This 263-nucleotide unclassified non-coding RNA is filed under the name plant metagenome. RNAcentral describes it as "partial contains small subunit ribosomal RNA, internal transcribed spacer 1, and 5.8S ribosomal RNA". The record is from RNAcentral.